Molecule: long non-coding RNA, 1676 nt
Organism: Arachis duranensis
Lineage: Eukaryota; Viridiplantae; Streptophyta; Magnoliopsida; Fabales; Fabaceae
Exons: 7
Source: RefSeq, a predicted model, not a curated record
CCUUUUUUUCCAACACGAUAGACUGGGUUAGCUCUGAGAGAAAGAGAGCUUCUGGAUCUCGUUCGCCAUCCACUGUCAUCGGCUUCAAACAAAACCGCCAUUUUCGCCGUCGUUCCCGCUGUCAUUUCUGCCGCCGGCACCGUCACCACUGCCGUGUCCGUUGCGGUAGAGAGCUUCUGGAUCAGGGAGGUUGAUGUUGGCCCCGAUGGUAAGAUCUGUUAUGAGGAUUUCAUCGCCAGAAUGGUAAACUCUUCACAUAUCAGAUCCUUGCAAAUUCCAUUCGCUCUGCUUCUGGAUUUUCCUAAAUGUGUUCUUCCUUUUUUCUCAGCUAUUUCCGUAUUGCUGUUUCUUCUUCUUCAUGUUUGGUUUUUUUUGUGCUGUUUCUUCUUCAUGUUUGUCUUCUAAAUCCCUUAUUGAAACCCUAAAACCUCACAUAAGGAAUAUUGUGCAUAUUGGCUGCGUUUGUCUCAAGUGUCAUUUAUUCAUUUUUGAAAUUAAACUAAUUUCUCCAUGGAUGAUCAUUUUGACAUGGUCAAGAUAGAUCGAUGAGAUGAACGGUGGACAAUGAAUGAGGUGUGACCUGUGCUGCCGCAGUGGCUACCGGCUAUUGAAUUCUCAUAGCUUAGAUUCCAGAUUCUGCUGCAGCCAUGUUUUUGGCCUCGUAAUCGCUUCCGAUCAAAUUUCAGAAGCUUGCUUAGCCAUCAGACUCCAUGGGAGACAUGGCGAUCAUUUUGAAAUUAAACUUCACAUAUUUGCACCUUGUAUCAUUGAUGAUCACAGUUAGCAUAGCAUCACAGAAAAUAAACAAGUCUUCUACUCUAGAAGUUGUUUAAAUCCAGUGAUCCAGUUUUCAUUCCAGUUCCUGAUAACUCUGCCAAUAAGAGGAUGCAUUUGCUUGGGUUUCUUCUAUUUCUGGGAUUAAAGUGGAUACUGAUUUUUCUCUCACCAGUUUCUUGUUCUUGCUUUUGAACAAGCGCUUGUUGAGUUUAACUAGCAACAAUGGAUAAAUCUUGGAUUGCUAAGCCACGAAACUCAGAUGAAUAUAUAGUUGGUCUAGAAAACUUCUUGGAUUUUGCAUUUCAACAUAGAGCAAUUGAGAAUAGUAAGAUAAUAUGUCCGUGUCCAAUUUAUUAGAUAGCGAUGCUAUUGAAGAUAAUGUAGCUACUAACUUGGCAAGGGAUAUGUUUGAAUGAAAAUUUGUACAAAAUUUUACCAAAGAUUUCAUAUGGGAAGACAACCACCAAUAAUAAUAGCAGAGGCAGAGCUUUGUACUAAAGUUGGAAUUGUUACCAGAGGAAGUUCUUGUCAUUCGUAAGAUUCAUCCAUGUUUGCCAUCUUUCAAGGCUGAAUUCACUGCAUCUGUUCCUCUGACUCGAGUUAGAGAUAUUGCUCACCGAAAUGACAUCCCACAUGACCUCAAGGUUGUUUUUCCACAGUACCUCAAGUAUGUAAUCCCAUUUUAGUUUAAUAUAAAUGAUAGAUUGCCUGUUUCAUGCAAGAUGGGUGAACCCUUGUGUUGGUGCUACUUCUAUGCUACUGUUUUUAUAUAUUAGAUGGUGCUACUUCUAUGCUGUUUUUAUUUUGAGACUUUAUAUGUAAUUAGACGAUAUUGAAAUAUUAAAGUUGUUGUUUUAUUUUAUUUUUUAAAGAAAAACAAUAAUAGUUAUGUAGAAUAA